Molecule: long non-coding RNA, 939 nt
Organism: Nematostella vectensis (starlet sea anemone)
Lineage: Eukaryota; Metazoa; Cnidaria; Anthozoa; Actiniaria; Edwardsiidae
Exons: 2
Source: RefSeq, a predicted model, not a curated record
UGCAAUCAGCCUUAAAAAUAGCAUUUACACAAAAAAUACCAAGUAAUGUCUUUUUUUCCUCUUAUGUCAAAGGUGAUCACAUCAGCUAUGACCAUCCACCAGACCAGCCCUUCUUUGUUGGAAAGGGAAAGUCAACACCUCGCUCCACCUCCGGCAAUAAUGCCCAGACGCCCCGAGCGAGGCAGGGGAUCAGAAGCUGCAGAGACGAUGUCUCAUCCUAAAACAUUUAGAAGAUCUUAAGAAAUUGAGGGAUGGCGAUGUCAUCACAGCAGAAAUGUUUACUGUCGAGCGCGAAAAAUGGAUCAAGGAGCUAACCAGCAUCCAAUUAUAAAGUGAUGCGGUUAUUUAAACAAUUUUAAUAUCAGUUAAACAAUUUUAAUUCCGUUUUGUGUGUGUACCGAAUCAGCUUGAAUGAUUGUGAGCAUGGACGCAUCUCUAAACAAGGGGUCGUCCACACUGACACGGAUUCAAAAGUAUCCGGAUUCGUUUCGCCGAAAACGCAUCACUGGAUUCGCGUCCACACUAUCAUUUUCGCAUCGUGUUCGCCUGGAUCCAGCCGUCCACACUAACACUGAAAGGUACAGGGUGACGUCAUUUUUAUGAUAUGCGCAUGCUCAAAGCAGCGCGCGCAUGCGAUAUGACGAUAUCGUUUUCAUUUUGAUACGGAUUUGACCGUCCACACUUACGGACCACAGUAUACGGAUUCAUUUUGAUUCACUUUCGACGGCGUUUUCAAAAGUAUCCGGAUUCGCUGGAAUCAGCGCGCGUGUUAUUGUGGACGGAAGGCCUAAACGUAUCAAAAAGUAUACGGAUUCAAACGAAUCCGUGUUAGUGUGGACGGCCCCUAAUACAAUGAAAAUUGUACAAUGUAAAUAACAUACAUUACAACAAGUUCUCUUCAUCUUCUGUUAAUAAAAAGAACAAAGUGUUUUUCCCCAA